RNAcentral lists this ribosomal RNA (271 nucleotides) under uncultured bacterium. RNAcentral's name for it is "partial 16S ribosomal RNA". It matches the Rfam family "Bacterial small subunit ribosomal RNA", at positions 82 to 354 of the family's 1533-position model. The record is from RNAcentral.
UCUACGUCGACGACCGGCGCACGGGUGCGUAACGCGUAUGCAACCUACCCAUUACAGGGGGAUAACACUGAGAAAUCGGUACUAAUACCCCAUAACAUCCAGGGAGGCAUCUUCUUGGGUUGAAAACUCCGGUGGUAAUGGAUGGGCAUGCGUUGUAUUAGUUAGUUGGUGGGGUAACGGCUCACCAAGACAACGAUACAUAGGGGGACUGAGAGGUUAACCCCCCACAUUGGUACUGAGACACGGACCAAACUCCUACGGAAGGCAGCAG